AGUGAACGCUGGCGGCGUGCCUAAUACAUGCAAGUCGAACGAGUGGCGCACGGGUGAGUAACGCAUCGGAACGUACCGAGUAAUGGGGGAUAACUGUCCGAAAGGACAGCUAAUACCGCAUAUUAUUCGAGCGGCCGAUGUCUGAUUAGCUGGUUGGCGGGGUAAAGGCCCACCAAGGCGACGAUCAGUAGAGGGUCUGAGAGGAUGAACCGCCACACUGGGACUGAGACACGGCCCAGACUCCUACGGGAGGCAGCAGUGGGGAAUUUGGGACAAUGGGCGCAAGCCUGAUCCAGCCAUGCCGCGUGUCUGAAGAAGGCCUUCGGGUUGUAAAGGACUUUUGUCAGGGAAGCGGUACCUGAAGAAUAAGCACCGGCUAACUACGUGCCAGCAGCCGCGGUAAUAC
Molecule: ribosomal RNA, 406 nt
Filed under: uncultured bacterium
Lineage: Bacteria
Description: partial 16S ribosomal RNA
Rfam family: Bacterial small subunit ribosomal RNA
Source: RNAcentral